UCACGUAUAAGAUAAAAAAUCUUUGGGUUUGUGGAACCCUAAAUACCGUAUGGUUUGUGGU
RNAcentral lists this transfer RNA (61 nucleotides) under Mastigeulota kiangsinensis. RNAcentral's name for it is "tRNA-His". The record is from RNAcentral. Lineage: Eukaryota; Metazoa; Mollusca; Gastropoda; Stylommatophora; Camaenidae.